UCUUCGUCUUUUCUUGUAAGUAAAACUUUCACAACAGUUAUUUAAUAAAUAAAAUAGAUAGCCGCAUUGUACACGAGGUUAAAAGUCGUAAUAAAAAAUGACUUAAGUGAAUACAAGCAAAGGCUGGGCAAAACUAUUAAGUACAAACUCUGUGGGUUUUGUUGGCAAGUUUUUAUCUAAUCUCAGCAUAUGAUUGAAUUGGAUCAAGAAAAGGAAAAAAAGGCCGGAAAGUUACUGCUAAAGGCAGUUUCCCACUGUCUCCAUUUGGGGCAAGUCUGAAUGGAGAACUCUGUAUGCUGGGAACAACCAAAAGAAGAAUGGACGGAAGCCGUCACGUCUAUAGUAGAACGUGAUGAACACAAUAGACGAUGGUCCCUCUACAUCUCUUAAUAUUACGCUUCUUAAGUUACACGACGUAUCUGCAAUUCAUCAUCGAAAAGAAAGAAUCCGAGGAGCACACUUGUAUGGAGUGUACCGUAUAAAUUGGAUAUAGCCGCCGCAACGACCAGAGAGGAAAAAAAAGAUCGAUAUCAGUAGCAGCAUCAAGCGAGUGAUGCGACGUCGGCAGCAACGUCGGCACAUUUGAUUUUCGUUCGUUCCCGUACGAUUCCGCGUGAUCAAUUGCCGCUUGGAUUGCUGUUGCUUUCGGGAGCACUCCGCUUUUUCUCUGGGCUUGCUCGCUCCAUAUUCCUGUACACUCACCCUCUUUCGUCCAUUUUGCCCGCGUCUAUUUGGCCAAGACGGCUCGUGUAAAUAAGCUAUAGGCACGCGCGCGCAUAGAGCAUUAAUCUCUUUUCCAAGGCAUUCUUGUCAUCUGCCUUUCUCUCUCGUACUUCUAUUUACACAGCCCGUAAACCGCUUCCUUUUGCCCACCGUAGCUUGUCCCGCUAUUUACCUUACACUGACAGAGUGCACUAUACGCUAACACAAGUAAGUAUACCAUAGA
Long non-coding RNA from Daphnia carinata, 946 nucleotides. RefSeq lists it as uncharacterized. NCBI's taxonomy places the organism in Eukaryota, Metazoa, Arthropoda, Branchiopoda, Diplostraca, Daphniidae. The record is from RefSeq and is a predicted model, not a curated record. The transcript is spliced from 4 exons.